RNAcentral lists this ribosomal RNA (253 nucleotides) under uncultured bacterium. RNAcentral's name for it is "partial 16S ribosomal RNA". It matches the Rfam family "Bacterial small subunit ribosomal RNA", at positions 524 to 776 of the family's 1533-position model. The record is from RNAcentral.
UACAGAGGGGGCAAGCGUUGUUCGGAAUUACUGGGCGUAAAGGGCGCGUAGGCGGCCUGCUAAGUCGAACGUGAAAUCCCUGGGCUCAACCCAGGAACUGCGUCCGAUACUGGUUGGCUUGAAUCCGGGAGAGGGAUGUGGAAUUCCAGGUGUAGCGGUGAAAUGCGUAGAUAUCUGGAGGAAUACCAGUGGCGAAAGCGACGCCCUGGCAUUAGCCUGACGCUCAUGUGCGAAGGCGUGGGGAGCGAACGGG